This 122-nucleotide ribosomal RNA is filed under the name Pseudomonadota bacterium. RNAcentral describes it as "Proteobacteria bacterium (subsurface metagenome) partial 16S ribosomal RNA". It matches the Rfam family "Bacterial small subunit ribosomal RNA", at positions 1 to 117 of the family's 1533-position model. Lineage: Bacteria; Pseudomonadati; Pseudomonadota. The record is from RNAcentral.
AAACUGAAGAGUUUGAUCAUGGCUCAGAUUGAACGCUGGCGGCAUGCCUAACACAUGCAAGUCGAACGGAAACGAUGCUAGCUUGCUAGCAGGCGUCGAGUGGCGGACGGGUGAGUAAUGUA